This 253-nucleotide ribosomal RNA is filed under the name uncultured bacterium. Its description in RNAcentral is "partial 16S ribosomal RNA". It matches the Rfam family "Bacterial small subunit ribosomal RNA", at positions 524 to 776 of the family's 1533-position model. The record is from RNAcentral.
UACGGAGGGGACUAGCGUCGUUCGGAAUUACUGGGCGUAAAGCGCACGUAGGCGGAUUUGUAAGUCAGGGGUGAAAUCCCGGGGCUCAACCUCGGAACUGCCUUUGAUACUGCAAAUCUCGAGUCCGGAAGAGGUGAGUGGAAUUCCUAGUGUAGAGGUGAAAUUCGUAGAUAUUAGGAAGAACACCAGUGGCGAAGGCGGCUCACUGGUCCGGUACUGACGCUGAGGUGCGAAAGCGUGGGGAGCAAACAGG